Non-coding RNA from Phrynosoma platyrhinos (Desert horned lizard), 72 nucleotides. NCBI's taxonomy places the organism in Eukaryota, Metazoa, Chordata, Lepidosauria, Squamata, Phrynosomatidae. The record is from the annotation of a GenBank genome assembly.
GCCAGCAUAGUAUGAUGGUUUGAGUGCUAGACUAUGACUCUGGAGACCAGGGUUCAAAUCCCAGCUCAGCCA